UACAGAGGCCCCAAGCGUUAAGCGGUGUCACUGGGCUUAAAGGGUGCGCAGGCGGAGGCGCAAGUGCCUUGUGAAAUCCCACGGCUCAACCGUGGAACUGCAUGGCAUACUGCGUCUCUUGAGGCCGGUAGGGGUUGCCGGAACUGUAGGUGUAGCGGUGAAAUGCGUAGAUAUCUACAGGAACGCCCAUGGUGAAGACAGGCAACUGGGCCGGUUCUGACGCUGAGGCACGAAAGCGUGGGGAUCAAACAGG
Molecule: unclassified non-coding RNA, 253 nt
Filed under: uncultured Phycisphaeraceae bacterium
Lineage: Bacteria; Pseudomonadati; Planctomycetota; Phycisphaerae; Phycisphaerales; Phycisphaeraceae
Description: contains 16S-23S intergenic spacer region
Rfam family: Bacterial small subunit ribosomal RNA
Source: RNAcentral